UACGGAGGGUGCAAACGUUGCUCGGAAUCAUUGGGCGUAAAGCGCACGUAGGCGGCUCGUUAAGUCGGGUGUGAAAGCCCUCGGCUCAACCGAGGAAGUGCAUUCGAAACUGGCGAGCUUGAAUAUGGAAGAGGGUCGCGGAAUUCCCGGUGUAGAGGUGAAAUUCGUAGAUAUCGGGAGGAACACCAGUGGCGAAGGCGGCGCCUGGGCCAAUAUUGACGCUGAGGUGCGAAAGCGUGGGGAGCAAACAGG
This 252-nucleotide ribosomal RNA is filed under the name uncultured bacterium. Its description in RNAcentral is "partial 16S ribosomal RNA". It matches the Rfam family "Bacterial small subunit ribosomal RNA", at positions 524 to 776 of the family's 1533-position model. The record is from RNAcentral.